This 1152-nucleotide ribosomal RNA is filed under the name Triticum aestivum (bread wheat). Its description in RNAcentral is "partial small subunit ribosomal RNA". The record is from RNAcentral. Lineage: Eukaryota; Viridiplantae; Streptophyta; Magnoliopsida; Poales; Poaceae.
AUGAGGGGCUUCCUCUCCGCUCUCGCUCUCGCUCGCGCGGCGGCGCGGACGCGGGCGGAGCUCCAGGGCACGCGCGGCCGCCGACUGUCCCACUGCGCCGCGGCGCCGGCGAGGCCUUCCUUCGGCAUCGCCUUCGACAUCGACGGGGUCAUCCUGCGCGGCCGUAGCCCUAUCGGGGGCUCGCCGCAGGCCAUCCGACGCCUCUACUCCGACGAUGGUACCCUGAAGAUUCCUUUUCUGUUCUUAACCAAUGGAGGUGGUGUUCCAGAGCAUAAACGAGCCCUAGAAUUAAGUGACCUUUUGGGAGUUAACAUCUCUCCAGCACAGGUUGUGCAUGGCCAUUCUCCUUACGGAGAUCUGGUGAAGCGUUUUGAAGAUGAUCUUAUCGUUGCUGUUGGAAAAGGAGAGCCUGCAUCAGUGAUGGCCGAGUAUGGGUUUAGAAAGGUUCUGUCCAUAGAUGACUAUUCAUCACAUUUUAAGGAAAUUGACCCCCUAGCUCCUUUCAAGAAAUGGAAAGUGGGACAACCAGACUGUAAAGACUUUAUGUCUGAGAAAAUGCAUCCACCAUAUGAUGUUUACCAGGAGAGAGUUAAAGGAGUGUUUGUUGUCAGUGACCCUGUUGAUUGGGUAGAGAUCUACAGGGUACUUUGUGACAUCUUGUCAACUGGUGGACUUCCUGGAAAUGGAAAAGGAGAUCAACCUCCUUUAUAUUUUUCGGCUGAUGAUCUUGAAUAUCAGGCUGCAUUUCCUUCUGAGCGGCUUGGGAUGGGUGCCUUCCGGAUAGCACUCGAAAGCAUCUUCAAUCAAGUUAAUGAUGUUCCACUGAAGUAUACAUCUUAUGGGAAGCCUAAUCCAUUUGUGUUCAAGAAUGCAGCUAAUAUACUAGAAAAAAUUGUUAUGGAUAUGUAUCCAAAUUCACAGCCGAGGAAUGAAGUACAAGACCAUCAGUUCUCUACUAUCUACAUGAUCGGUGAUAAUCCUAAAGUUGAUAUCAAUGGAGUUUUGAAGGCUGGCCCCCCUUGGUCGUCCGUCCUUACUAGGACUGGUGUUUUUAGGGGAAAUGAUAAUGAUCCAAAGUUUCCUGCUGAUUUGGUUGUUGAUACUGUUGACGAUGCUAUCAGCUGUAUUUUGGAAAAGGAAUGUAUACGGUGA